Molecule: long non-coding RNA, 946 nt
Organism: Micropterus dolomieu (smallmouth bass)
Lineage: Eukaryota; Metazoa; Chordata; Actinopteri; Centrarchiformes; Centrarchidae
Exons: 3
Source: RefSeq, a predicted model, not a curated record
UGGUGUCUCUCUGGAGGAAGCAGGGCGGUCAUCUGUGGAGGCCAGGUAGUGUGUGUGUGUGUGUAUAGGCUAAGUGACUGGACACAAGGCAGUGUACGCCAUCAACAGCUCCAUCAACCUCCACGCCCACAGCAUUCAUCUGCCAGCCACUCAGUCUACUAGCCAGCCAACCAUUUCUGUUUUGCCUUAUUCUGUGGGCUUGUGUUAGAUCAGGAGGCAUACGUAAGCAUCAUGCAUGAUGUUUUUCACAUGCGCUCUUACUACAUUUUGGAAGCGAACAACACUAUAUUUUUAACUGGAAACAGUAAGAUGACAGAGGCUGACAAAAGAACCCUUAUUUCCGCUUACCGCGAACUUUUUCUUAUGUGUUAUUUAGUAAACAAAAUAGGUAAAAAUUAAAAUGUCAUUACAUCCCUUGAAUCUAAACAUGUGCAAACCUUAAUGUAUGCAUGCUUCUUAAGACAUACAGUUCGUCUGCUGAGAAAAUCCAAAGCUUAGCUGAGCAUUGCCUAUAUGAUGUUGAACCACUCGCCGGGGCAACCAAUGAGGCAUCGUGUGUCAUCUACGUCGGUGACAGUCAUGCAUCUGUUCAACAUGUCAGACACAGUGUCAGCGUGGUGGGUGAGCUUGUUAGCUUAGCAUGCUAGAGUCAUGCCCCUGUCAUCAUUGUUGAAUAAGUAAAUGGCGGGGCGGAGAUGUCACGAGAAACAGACAGCGGAGCUAUGACGUGUGCUGCAUUCAACAUGAGUCAAAUAGUAUUUGAAAAUACUUUCUUGAAGGAUGGGAUUUGCAACAAUUGAGAGAAAAGAGCAGAACGUUUAGAUUUAGCAACAGGCAGAAGUCCAGUUGGGAUCAUUUUAUAUGAAAAAUAACUUACUUCACAAUAUGUUAAUUGCUCUUUUGUGGUAAAUCGCACCCAUCUCAUAAUUAAACUGCAAACAUUACU